AUCACAAUGGUAGUUUGAAAUUGGCCGCAGUGGGAGUAUUUACACCAGGGAAAUUGGCAAGUGCUACAAAUCAGGGCUUUUUCUUUUUUCCAGGGAGCCAUUUACUAGCACACCAUUUGUUAGAGUGUGAACUGGUUAGAAUGUAGAUGAGGGAUAGUUGGAGGCCACAGAAGACAAGCAAAGAGACCAAACUGUACAUUCAUCUAGAAAGGCUAGAUAAGAUUAUAUUAUAUAUAGAUAAGAUUGCAUUAGAUUUUUAAUGUCACCUUCAAGAAAGAAGGAAAUUUCAGGAUAUCAGAAAUGCAGAGGACACAAAGCCCUAAUGGUACAUUCUAAUAUUAUGGCAGCCAGGAUGAGGGGGAAGAGCAGUUGAUAGAUCCAGAAGUGUCCUUUAGGAUAGAGGUUUGUGUUUCAAUGCCCAGACAGAGACAGGAGACAAGGCUCUGGGUUCAUGGAAGGUGAAGAGUUGGAAUGAAGACCGUUGCAUUGACAAACCCCUCAAAGAACUGCAUGCACCUCAGUGAGAAAAUAAAAGCUCCACCUGCUGGCCUGGAAGGGGACCCCUGAUCUCCAUAAGUGUCCCUGACAUUUCAAGGGCACAAAUUCUCUGGACACACGGAGGGAAUAAUGCUGACAUUUUAUAGAAGCUGACCCACUGGAUAUCCUUCUCACCCAACUCCAUUAGGCUAGGGAGAGUAAGAGGCAUGGUGACAAGGUGGCAAAGAUGUCACCAUGCCAUCCAAUCACGAGGUCUCCAGGAAACUGUAUAAGAAGGACACCCCCAGAAACUCCUGGCACUACUG
RNAcentral lists this non-coding RNA (803 nucleotides) under Pongo abelii (Sumatran orangutan). The record is from RNAcentral. Lineage: Eukaryota; Metazoa; Chordata; Mammalia; Primates; Hominidae.